RNAcentral lists this ribosomal RNA (321 nucleotides) under Triticum aestivum (bread wheat). RNAcentral describes it as "partial small subunit ribosomal RNA". The record is from RNAcentral. Lineage: Eukaryota; Viridiplantae; Streptophyta; Magnoliopsida; Poales; Poaceae.
AUGAAGAAGAUCUUGUUCAGCAUGUUCUAUUCGAUACUGGUAGGAGAAGAACCCGACUCGGUAUUCUUAAAAAAAGAGGGGAAGCAGAACCAAGUCAAGAUGAUAUGGGUCGCCCCUUCUUCUUGCGCCAAAUAUCUUACCAUUUCCGAAGGAACCGGGGCUACAUUUCUUUUCAAUUUCCAUUCAAGAGUUUCUAUCUGUUUCCACGCCCUUUUCUUGAGACCUCGAAAAAAGAGAGACCCUUUUCCUAACCAUCACUAUCCUUGGUGCCAAGGUAUAAGAGCAUCUCCUCUCCAGCUGUUCGGCGCUCCCCAGGAAUGA